CUCUCAAUUUUUUGAGUAGAUAUCUAUACCACUUAGGUACACUUCCUGUGUUCCUUCCUGGUCUAUAUAGUUACCAAAACUUUUUAUGUGGUCUCUUGUCCUGUGUUUCCGUAUGGACUCACUCCGUCUGCUUUUUCAUAUUAUGGGACUCUAAAUUGGAUCUCUCUUUUUUCAUUUAAAUGGACUACGCUUUUCCGGUGGUCCUUAACAUUCGAAGUUUAGUCCAAAAAAAUGGUGUAG
Molecule: non-coding RNA, 240 nt
Organism: Pelobates cultripes (western spadefoot toad)
Lineage: Eukaryota; Metazoa; Chordata; Amphibia; Anura; Pelobatidae
Source: the annotation of a GenBank genome assembly